This is a long non-coding RNA of Gossypium arboreum, 457 nucleotides long. RefSeq lists it as uncharacterized. The record is from RefSeq and is a predicted model, not a curated record. The transcript is spliced from 2 exons. NCBI's taxonomy places the organism in Eukaryota, Viridiplantae, Streptophyta, Magnoliopsida, Malvales, Malvaceae.
UUUUCGAGAGAAAGUCUCCUCUUCUCUCUGGGUCGACCCAGAUCUCGGUCAAGGGACCGAGGAGCUCUGCCGCAGGCCCAUCGCCAAUCACUGUCGCCGCCGCAGCUCCGUCGCCGGCGACCGCCAUGUACGGCGGUCGGAGGUCAAAAUUUCCCCCUUUUCUUCGGCGCUUCGAAAGGUGGUGGUGGCAGACGGUGGACGUGACAGACGGCAUGGGGUGGCUAGGAUCUGUCAGUGGCUAGGGGACAGAAGCCCUAGGUGCACAAAAUUUUUGUUGUUUUUUUGUUAUGGUUUGGGCUACAUGGUUUGGGGCUUUGUGGGUCUAUUUUGGGUUUAAUUUGUAAAAGGCCCGGGCUAAUUUGGGCUUCUUCAUGAAACAUUUUGACCUUUCGAGGCUUAAUAAUGGUCCCAAAUACCUCUGAAUAUUUAAAAAACAAGUUAAAUGAUUUCAACAUGA